Molecule: unclassified non-coding RNA, 318 nt
Filed under: uncultured Episphaeria
Lineage: Eukaryota; Fungi; Basidiomycota; Agaricomycetes; Agaricales; Crepidotaceae
Description: partial contains 5.8S ribosomal RNA, internal transcribed spacer 2, and large subunit ribosomal RNA
Rfam family: 5.8S ribosomal RNA (bases 1-52)
Source: RNAcentral
AACGCACCUUGCGCUCCUUGGUAUUCCGAGGAGCAUGCCUGUUUGAGUGUCAUUAAAUUCUCAAUUUUUGCCGUUCUCUCUUGAGUGACAGUAAAGUAUUGGAUGUGGGGGGUUGUGCUGGCUCCAUUUGCAGAGUCAGCUCCCCUGAAAUGCAUUAGCAGUGCCCCUGUAUGGACUCUGAUUAUCAGUGUGAUAAAACUAUCUACGCUGCUGUGCAGACCAUGCUCUCUUGGGGUUGUGCUGCUUCUAAUCGUCCCGUUGUGGGACAACAAAUGACAAUCUGGCCUCAAAUCAGGUAGGACUACCCGCUGAACUUAA